Triticum aestivum (bread wheat) is the source of this 2973-nucleotide long non-coding RNA. RefSeq lists it as uncharacterized. Lineage: Eukaryota; Viridiplantae; Streptophyta; Magnoliopsida; Poales; Poaceae. The transcript is spliced from 6 exons. The record is from RefSeq and is a predicted model, not a curated record.
UAUAGCAGCCCGCCCGCACCUCUCCCUCCUCUGGUCCUUCCUCAUCUCAGCCGCCACCCCCACCAACCCUAGCCGCGCCCUCCUGCAUCUGUCCUUCUCCCCCUUCCUGGUCCGUCCCGAGCCCCUCCUCGUCUCCUUGUCGCACCCACCUAAUCACCAGUGAUGGCCGCGCCUAAACGCAUGAGCUAGCCAAGGAAAAGCGGGGUGGCGCGUGCCCUGGUCAUCGGCCGACGGGGAGCCUGCGUAGAGGCGGUGGCGGAGACGAACCUAGAUGCUCGAGCCGCCUCUUCGGAGGCUUUCCGAUGAACAGGUGGUGUGCCGUCUGCAACACCCCACCCAUGGUUCCUAAUUCCUAAUGGCUUUUUGUUGUGCGGAUGAUGGAUUUAUGUGUUCCUGCCGCUGAAGGGGAAGACGGAGGAGUUCCGCGCGCGCCUGGGCCGCGGGGAGAUGCUCGUCGACGUUCAGGCAGAGGAGUUUUCUGUGGUGAGGGAGGCGGCAAGGAGGACGCUCGGCAUGUGACACUUCGAUGUUCAGGCAUACCAGUUUUGCUCUGUUAGGAUGUUCAGUGGUGACUGUAAAUGAUUAUUUGGCACAGCGAGAUGCUGAAUGGAUGGGCCGCGUUCAUCGUUUUCUUGGCCUAACUGUCGGUCUAAUUCAGGCGGGUAUGAAGUCUGAUGAGAGGAGAGCCAACUAUAUGUGUGACAUUACAUACACUAAUAACUCGGUAAGAUGCUCAGUAGAACAACAACUUUUAGAUAGUUCUAUAGUGGCUAUUCAUCUGAGGACCUUUCUUCUUCUUGCAACUUGGUAUUAUAUGUUAAAGUUGUCUUCAUUUCAGAUUAGAAGUAAUAAUAAAAUAAGUUGUGUUUGAAUCUUCUACAAGAAUCUACCUGUGAGCUGCCGCCAUAUUUGUUAAUGAACCCUUUACCUGCUUAUCUUGGUUAUGUAGUACUUUAUGUUGAUAUCCCAUAUCAUAUAAGAAUCAAGGACCUUCAUAGUGGAUAUGAUUUUGGUCAUCCACCAAGUCAUCAAGUUGAGCACAUCAUCUUGGACAAGCAGAUGCAAAUUUCUGCUACAUAUGCUUCUUGGAUUGUCUCUGCCAUCAACUCUCUCAAUUCCCAAAGCAUUAAACCCAUCUGAUUGUUUAUAUAUUUUAUUUUUGUUUUGCUUUUACCAACGCAUUUCUUGGCAUGUGUGGGUGUGUUCCUUCCUACGGCCAGCUCGACCAUUUGCUCCGUAGGGCAAAAGGAGCAAAUAAAUUGAGAAUGCAUUAGUCUUCUCUGCAAUCUGUUGUUCAGGUCAAUCUUUCUUGUUUUUCUGCUCUUUGGUAAUGCAUUUGGAUUGUGUCUCUCUCUCAAGCUUGGGCAUAUUGGUUGUAUGUUUGACUUUUUUAGUAGCAGGAAGGUAACUAAGUAGUUCACAAGACAAGUAGUUGUAAACUUUGAUCAUUUAUUUGUAGAGUAUACUUUUGUGAGUAAUUCUAGGUUUUAGCUUUUUGGCAGAGAAUGCAUAGUUUUGGGAUCUACGAUAUUAGUUAUGAGAGGAUGGUAAUCAUAUGGAAAGUGGUAUUGUGAUGUGAGUUAUUGGCCUAAGAAAUCACAUUGUAUGGUUUAUUGGCCUAAUAAGCUCUCUUUGACUGUAAAACUGAUAAGCAUGUCCAAAGGAUGAUUUUGUUUUGUUAGUUUCAUGAAAAUUGUAGGAGUUUAGAUAGCAUCGAUGCUUAGUACAGAGUGAGAUUAACAAAACACUGAAUUGAAGAUCGGUUUUUCUCUUAUUUUGUCUACUCUCUACGUCGAGAUAAGUGUGGAUUCAAUAGAUACUAACUCUGGCUAUUUGGCUAAAAAUUGGGUGCUUACAUACUCGUUGAAAUUUAGUUCUGUAAAAGAGAAAUAUUGUUAUCAUGCAAUGAUCAACUCAGUGUAGGAUUGCUAUAGAGUUCUUCCUCCCUUUUCAUUGAGCAUGUUCUUUAAUUAGGUUGCAAUUGUGAAACUUGUUUGUUUUUUUAUUGUAUAAUAUGAAGCUUCCAAAUGGUUUGAUCAUGAAAACAAGUUACCAAAUUUCUGUGUGCAGUGGGCUGGGAGCCAGGGUCAUAUGUGAUGUUCUUUCCUGAAUGAGCACUGUUGAGUUAUCUGCUUCCCUUGAUUAACCCUUCAUUUAGAACUACAAGACAAAGCUUGAAAAAAUUGGCCUGUUGUCUUCCUGUUCACACAAAUCUGCAAUCUGGGUGUUACUGAUGUUUCCUCAACCACCUUAUAGUCACUUUUGACUGACAAGUGUAUCGUAAUAGGCAUUCUGAUCUGUCUUUUUUGUUAGUUGCAGAUUUAGAAGCGUAGUAAUGAUAUUUGCUGACAGCUGUAUGAAAAGGAGUUGUUAAUAGAUAAAUCCUACCUCCACAUAUACAGUUUGUAGGAGUUUGGAGUACUUUGCGCACCUACCUGUAGCGUGCCAUCACAAGCACUUAUACAACAGGAGGUUUGUGCGCCACAUGUAAACUUCCUCUCCUUCCUCUCAGUCUCUAGCUAACCAUUGAGGGCCGGCUCAUCAUGCCAAGAGAUGCUAAUGAGAAUAACGGAGAUGCUAAAAGGCAACCUUUUGGGAUAUAGACAACAACAUGGCUUAUGAGUCCGAAGAGAGCUCGAGUGGAGUCUUUUGGUUCUUGAAGCCCUGCACUUUCCUGGUGGAGUAGCAUGAAAACAAUUAAGAGACUUCAAAGCUACUACGCUUCAUGUAGUUACGAUCAAUUCUUGGUCUCGGUUUGAAAUACUCCUCACUUCCUCCUAUUUGAUUGAUUUGUCUGAUGGACAUUUUGUCAAGAAAAUAAACAGAAGGCAUAUGUAUUAUUACGAGUGAAGCCAUCCAUACAAGUUAAGAUAUUAAUAAUCCCAUAUGUGGAAUUCGAGAUAUAGAGAAAUGUUAUUAUUCUUCUGCUAAUUGGUUGCUUGACCAAAUGUACUGUAAAUGACAUUAUUAUUG